Molecule: ribosomal RNA, 421 nt
Filed under: uncultured archaeon
Lineage: Archaea
Description: partial 16S ribosomal RNA
Rfam family: Archaeal small subunit ribosomal RNA
Source: RNAcentral
CUACGGGCGGCUGCAGUCGGGAAAACUUUACAAUGCACGAAAGUGUGAUAAGGGAAUCCUAAGUGCUUACUUUUGGGUAGGCUUUUGCCAAGUGUAAAAAGCUUGGCGAAUAAGUGAUGGGUAAGACCGGUGCCAGCCGCCGCGGUAACACCGGCGUCACAAGUGGGGAUCAUAUUUAUUGGGUCUAAAGCAUCUGUAGCCGAUUUAGCAAAUUCCUUGUGAAAUUGACAGGCUUAACCUGUCAGCGUGCAAGGGACACUACUAAGUUAGGGACCGGGAGGAGACAGAAGUACGCUUUGGGGAGCGGUAAAAUGCAAUAAUCCUUAGCGGACUACCUGUGGCGAAGGCGUCUGUCUAGAACGGGUCUGACGGUGAGAGAUGAAAGCCAGGGGCGCAAAAGGGAUUAGAUACCCCAGUAGUC